UUAGAUACCCUAUUAUUAAGACAUAUAAAAAUCUAAGGUAGUAGUUGCUAUGAACUUAAAACCUAAAGAAUUUGGCGGUACCAAAUAAAAUCAGAGGAACCUGUUUUCUAAUCGAUAAUCCACGAUAAAUCUUUCUUUUUUAAGGCUUGUAUACCGUCAUCUACAGUAAACUCUUUAGAAAAAUACUCAAUUGUAGGAACAUCUAAGUUAGAUCAAGGUGCAGCUUAAAAAAGUAAUUAAUGGGUUACAAUUGAAACCAGAUUGGAAUUUCACCCAGAAAGGGGAUAAUAAAAUGGAUUUGAAAGUAAUUUUAGUUUAACAAGCUGAGAUGAGUUGAUUUCUAGGUAAGUACACAUCGCCG
RNAcentral lists this ribosomal RNA (361 nucleotides) under unidentified. RNAcentral describes it as "Burmoniscus sp. partial 12S ribosomal RNA". The record is from RNAcentral.